RNAcentral lists this unclassified non-coding RNA (912 nucleotides) under Leishmania donovani. RNAcentral's name for it is "gene:unknown". The record is from RNAcentral. Lineage: Eukaryota; Euglenozoa; Kinetoplastea; Trypanosomatida; Trypanosomatidae.
CUUUUUUUUUCACGGGGAGGGGAAAGUGGAGAUGCCCGUCUCCCCCCUCCUUGUUCGAGCUCAUCAAGUUCAGGAAUAAAGGACAAAGAAGGGGCAGGUAUUUCGUGGAGGCAGACUCAAAGGGAGGCGUGGUAGGCGGUGAGGUAGAGGUGGGCGGAAGGAGGACAGAGGGGGAUGGGGCGGGGGACUGACGCACCCUCCACCAACCUGCACGUUUGUGUGUGAUCGGUUCGUGCUUUCGCUCCUCUCGCUCGCGUCCUCCCUCCCUCCAGGCGAGAAGAAGAGGGGUGUUGCGGAACGGUAACGAUCAUGAGCCAGCAAACCUCAUCAGAAAGGGAAACGAAAACGAUGUGCCCCCCCCCCUCCUUCCUCCCUCCCUCCCUCCGAGUCUCGCGAACGGCGGCACAGCAGCGCUCCCGUUUGCUUUCGCUACGCUUUGGUUGACGUUGUGUGUUUCGCUUGACCGCGUCCUUCCGUCACGCUUUUUAUGUCUUCUGUUCUUGCACGUGUGCGGAUAGGCGCUCCGCGUGUGGGUGGGUGGGUAGGUAGAUGUGUUUCGGGGGGUGGGCGGCCAACCUCCCGCCCCUCCUCCUGCGCACUCCGCAGAGGUGACACAGCCCACGUACACACACAUCGAAUGCACAAAAAACGUAGGAAGACAGCAAUAGCCACGCAACGAUCUCUGAAGGAAAACUUCAUUUAAAAAAAAAGAGGAAAUAUCCACGAGUCGGACAGAGAGUGUGCAGAGCUAUAGGCCGCUCGCGUCACUGCGCCGCGUUUGACUCUCUGUCGGAUCUGUGUGCCUCAUGACUUUCUCUCUGUGGAGCGUAUUUCUCUUCGUGUGUUCCUGUUUUCGACGGCAGAAACAGCCCUGCCCGUCGACUGCACGAGCACUGUCGUUGUGAAGACUUC